RNAcentral lists this ribosomal RNA (485 nucleotides) under uncultured Corynebacterium sp. RNAcentral describes it as "partial 16S ribosomal RNA". Lineage: Bacteria; Bacillati; Actinomycetota; Actinomycetes; Mycobacteriales; Corynebacteriaceae. The record is from RNAcentral.
CACGUAGUUAGCCGGUGCUUCUUCUCCAGGUACCGUCAAUUGCUCUUCGUCCCUAGCGAAAGGAGUUUACAACCCGAAGGCCGUCAUCCCCCACGCGGCGUCGCUGCAUCAGGCUUGCGCCCAUUGUGCAAUAUUCCCCACUGCUGCCUCCCGUAGGAGUCUGGGCCGUAUCUCAGUCCCAAUGUGGCCGUACACCCUCUCAGGCCGGCUACCCGUCGACGCCUUGGUAGGCCAUUACCCCACCAACAAGCUGAUAGGCCGCGAGCUCAUCCCACACCGAAAAACUUUCCACAAUGGCAUCCAAACCAUCGUCCUAUCCGGUAUUAGACCCAGUUUCCCAGGCUUAUCCCGAAGUGCAGGGCAGAUCACCCACGUGUUACUCACCCGUUCGCCACUCGAGUACCCCUGCAAGCAGGAGCCUUUCCGUUCGACUUGCAUGUGUUAAGCACGCCGCCAGCGUUCAUCCUGAGCCAGGAUCAAACUCU